AGGACGAACGCUGGCGGCGUGCCUAACACAUGCAAGUCGAGCGAGGAGAUCCUUCGGGAUGAUCCUAGCGGCGGACGGGUGAGUAACACGUGGGCAACCUGCCUCAUAGAGAGGAAUAGCCUUCCGAAAGGGAGAUUAAUACCUCAUAACAUUGCAGUUUCGCAUGGAACAGCAAUUAAAGGAGUAAUCCGCUAUGAGAUGGGCCCGCGGCGCAUUAGCUAGUUGGUGAGGUAACGGCUCACCAAGGCGACGAUGCGUAGCCGACCUGAGAGGGUGAUCGGCCACAUUGGGACUGAGACACGGCCCAGACUCCUACGGGAGGCAGCAGUGGGGAAUAUUGCACAAUGGGGGAAACCCUGAUGCAGCAACGCCGCGUGAGUGAUGACGGCCUUCGGGUUGUAAAGCUCUGUCUUCAGGGACGAUAAUGACGGUACCUGAGGAGGAAGCCACGGCUAACUACGUGCCAGCAGCAGC
RNAcentral lists this ribosomal RNA (474 nucleotides) under uncultured bacterium. RNAcentral describes it as "bacterial SSU rRNA". It matches the Rfam family "Bacterial small subunit ribosomal RNA", at positions 26 to 518 of the family's 1533-position model. The record is from RNAcentral.